GAUCAUUACCGAGUUUUCGGGCUUCGGCUCGACUCUCCCACCCUUUGUGAACGUACCUCUGUUGCUUUGGCGGCUCCGGCCGCCAAAGGACCUCCAAACUCCAGUCAGUAAACGCAGACGUCUGAUAAACAAGUUAAUAAACUAAAACUUUCAACAACGGAUCUCUUGGUUCUGGCAUCGAUGAAGAACGCAGCGAAAUGCGAUAAGUAAUGUGAAUUGCAGAAUUCAGUGAAUCAUCGAAUCUUUGAACGCACAUUGCGCCCCUUGGUAUUCCGGGGGGCAUGCCUGUUCGAGCGUCAUUACAACCCUCAAGCUCUGCUUGGAAUUGGGCACCGUCCUCACUGCGGACGCGCCUCAAAGACCUCGGCGGUGGCUGUUCAGCCCUCAAGCGUAGUAGAAUACACCUCGCUUUGGAGUGGUUGGCGUCGCCCGCCGGACGAACCUUCUGAACUUUUCUCAAGGUUGACCUCGGAUCAGGUAGGGAUACCCGCUGAACUUAAGCAUAUCAAUAAGCGGAGGAAAAGAAACCAACAGGGAUUGCCUUAGUAACGGCGAGUGAAGCGGCAACAGCUCAAAUUUGAAAGCUGGCCCUUUUAGGGUCCGCGUUGUAAUUUGUAGAGGAUGAUUCGGCGAGGGCUCCUGCCUAAGUCCCCUGGAACGGGGCGUCAUAGAGGGUGAGAAUCCCGUAUGCGGUAGGUUGCCUUAGCCAUGUGAAUCUCCUUCGACGAGUCGAGUUGUUUGGGAAUGCAGCUCUAAAUGGGAGGUAAAUUUCUUCUAAAGCUAAAUACUGGCCAGAGACCGAUAGCGCACAAGUAGAGUGAUCGAAAGAUGAAAAGCACUUUGGAAAGAGAGUUAAAAAGUACGUGAAAUUGUUGAAAGGGAAGCGCUUGCAACCAGACUUGUCCGCAGUUGCUCAGCCGGUCUCCUGACCGGCGUACUCUUCUGCGGCCAGGCCAGCAUCAGUUCGGGCGGUCGGAUAAAGGCCUCGGGAAUGUAGCUCCUCUCGGGGAGUGUGAUAGCCCGGGGUGGAAUGCGACCAGCCUGGACUGAGGAUCUCGCU
This 1060-nucleotide ribosomal RNA is filed under the name fungal endophyte. RNAcentral's name for it is "eukaryotic LSU rRNA". The stretch from base 464 to 1060 matches the Rfam family "Eukaryotic large subunit ribosomal RNA", at positions 1 to 601 of the family's 3401-position model. The record is from RNAcentral. Lineage: Eukaryota; Fungi.